Molecule: ribosomal RNA, 440 nt
Filed under: uncultured bacterium
Lineage: Bacteria
Description: bacterial SSU rRNA
Rfam family: Bacterial small subunit ribosomal RNA
Source: RNAcentral
CCUACGGGCGGCUGCAGUAGGGAAUAUUGCUUAAUGGGCGCAAGCCUGAAGCAGCAACGCCGCGUGUGCGAUGAAGGCCUUCGGGUCGUAAAGCACUUUUGGACGGGAAGAGGAAGGACGGUACCGUUCGAAUAAGCCUCGGCUAACUACGUGCCAGCAGCCGCGGUAAAACGUAGGAGGCGAGCGUUAUCCGGAUUUACUGGGUGUAAAGCGCGUGCAGGCGGUUGGCUAAGUUGGGUGUGAAAGCUCCUGGCUCAACUGGGAGAGGUCGCUCAAAACUGGCGAACUGGAGAGUGGUAGGGGAAGGUGGAAUUCCGGGUGUAGUGGUGAAAUGCGUAGAUAUCCGGAGGAACACCAGUGGCGAAAGCGGCCUUCUGGACCAUUUCUGACGCUCAGACGCGAAAGCUAGGGUAGCAAACGGGAUUAGAUACCCCAGUAGU